AGAAGUUUGUAAGGCACGCGGCGGAUGCCUUGGAGCCAGACGGCGAUGAAGGACGCGACUACCUGCGAUAAGCCUGGGGGAGCUGGACGUGAGCUUAGAUCCCGGGAUUUCCGAAUGGGGGAACCCAGCAUGCUACAUGCAUGCUAUCCAUGACCCAACACAUAAGUCAUGGAAGGCAACCCGGGGAACGGAAACAUCCAAGUACCCGGAGGAAAAGAAAGAGAGAUCGAUUCCGUGAGUAGUGGCGAGCGAAAGCGGAGCAGCCCAAAUGCGUAACACGAUGACGGAUCCUAGGAGAAUCCUCUGGAAUGAGGAGCCAAAGGGGGUGAGAGCCCCGUAUCCGAAGGGUGAAGCCAUCCAUCGCGAGAGAGUAAGUCGGGACACGUGAAAUCCUGACCGAAGACCGGGGGACCGCCCCCGAAGGCUAAAUACGAUCUGGCUACCGAUAGCGUACAAGUACCGUGAGGGAAAGGUGAAAAGCACCCCGUGAGGGGAGUGAAAGAGAUCCUGAAACCGCGUGCUGACGAGAUGGCGGAGGACGUUAAAGUCUGACGCCGUGCCUAUUGAAGAAUGAGCCUGCGAGUCAGUGCAUACGCGCAAGGUUAAGUCGAAGAGACGGAGCCGUAGCGAAAGCGAGCCCGAACAGGGCGCACAGUGCGUAUGUCUGCACCCGAAACCCGGCGAUCUAGCCAUGUCCAGGAUGAAGCAGGGGUGAAACCCUGUGGAGGUCCGCACCGACGUUCGUUGAAACGCCCGCGGAUGAGAUGUGGCUCGUGGUGAAAUUCCAAUCGAGCUGGGUAAUAGCUGGUUCUCCCCGAAACAUCUUUAGGGAUGGCCUCACUGCAUGCGUACCGGAGGUAAAGCUACUGGAUGGGAGAGGCCCGAGCAAUCGGGUUCCCUCCCGACCAAACUCUGAAUGCCGGAUACGAUGAGCGUGGGAGCCAGUCGGUGGGAGAUAAGUUCCAUCGACAAGAGGGCAACAGCCCAGACCGCCGGAUAAGGCCCCUAAAUCUACGCUAAGUGUGUAAGGAUGUGGGAACACUAAGACAGCCAGGAUGUUGGCUCAGAGGCAGCCAUCAUUCAAAGAAUGCGUAACAGCUCACUGGUCAAGUGUCCCUGCGCCGAAAAUUUACCGGGGCUAAGCGUAGUGCCGAAUCCGCGGAUUCAUACGCAAGUAUGAGUGGUAGGGGAGCGUUGUAUGUGCGGUGAAGGGAUACCGUGAGGAAGUCCUGGAGCGCAUACAAGUGAGAAUGCAGGCGUAAGUAGCGAUGAAGGGUGGGAAUCCCUUCCGCCGAAUGACUAAGGUUUCCAGGGCAAGGUUCGUCCUCCCUGGGUCAGCCGGGAGCUAAGGUGAGGCCGAAAGGCGCAGCCGAUGCACAGAUGGUCAAGAUUCCAUCGCCCGGGCAUGUCUUGGCUGGGCAGUGACGGAUCGGGAAGGCAGUCGCCCCCUGUCGGAUGGGGGUCCUUAUUCUGGAUUGGUCCAGGCAGCACCUGGAUGUAAUGUCUGGAACGAGGGGAGGAAACCAGGGAUGGGAGUACGAAGCCUGCCGGAACGGUCCCGGGAAAAGCUGCUCAGUGUCGCAUGUCCGGCCCGUACCGAGAACGGACACACGUGGUCAGGUCGAGUAGACCGAGGCGAGCGAGAUAACUGUUGUUAAGGAACUCUGCAAAAUUGCUCCGCAAGUUAGCGAUAAGGAGCGCUCUCCUCCGGGAGAGCCGCAGUGAAGAGGCCCAGGUAACUGUUUACCAAAAACACAGCUCUAUGCGAAGGCGCAAGCCGAUGUAUAUGGGGUGAAGCCUGCCCGGUGCCGGAAGAUUAAGGGGAGGGGUCAAGCGCAAGCUGCAGCCCUGAGCCGAAGUCCCGGUGAACGGCGGCCGUAACUAUAACGGUCCUAAGGUAGCGAAAUUCCUUGUCAGGCAAGUUCUGACGCGCAUGAAUGGUAUAAUAAUCUGGGCGCUGUCUCGACAGCAGACUCGGCGAAAUCUUAAUCCCUGUGAAGAUGCAGGGUACCCGCGACUAGACGGAAAGACCCCAUGGAGCUUCACUGCAGUUUGGCAUUGGGCGGCCGCGUGCCGUGCACAGGAUAGGUGGGAGACUUUGAGACCAGGUUCUCGGACCUGGUGGAGUCGCCGUUUGGAUACCACCCUCGGUGUGCGUCCGUCCUAACCGGAACCCUGGACGGGUCUCGGGACAGUGUCUGACGGGCAGUUUGACUGGGGCGGUCGCCUCCCAAAGAGUAACGGAGGCGCUCGAAGGUACCCUUGGGCCGGUUGGAA
This 2277-nucleotide ribosomal RNA is filed under the name gut metagenome. Its description in RNAcentral is "bacterial LSU rRNA". It matches the Rfam family "Bacterial large subunit ribosomal RNA", at positions 1 to 2336 of the family's 2925-position model. The record is from RNAcentral.